GAGCACACAGUUAGUCUGCUGUGUUUUUCUGGAAGUCAGAGGGUGUGUUUCGUUACCCUCCAGGGUUCUGUGCACUCUGGGACAUAUGCCGUUUCCAAACCUGUUUACUAUUUUGGCUUGUCACACAACUUCAGGACAAGGUGUAUGGAAACUGCAGAGAGGGCAUCAAGUCUGGGUUUAAAAGCUUCUGUGGUUUACAGAGUAUUGAAUCACAAGCGCUUAGUAUUCUGGCAGUCUUUCUGUCUGAGCUGCUUCUCCUGCCACUCAUCCUUUGACUGAGCUGCCUCUGGGCAGUGUGGAGGCUCUGCCUGGACAGCAAUGAGGAGGUGGAGGAAGAGGAAGAAGAGUGGGAUUGAUUUUUGAUCCACAGGGGGGAGAAACAAUACAGAGGAAGGGGACUCCAUUGCCAUUCACAGCAAGUCUAUAGCAGUGAUUCCCUAAAAAGGCAAUCCAAUCUGUCAGCAUGAGUGAUGGGAGGAGCACCAGCAGGAGUGGGAGAGGAGGGUGAGGGGAGGCCGGAGCCAGGGCCAGGUGUCAAGCCAGGUAAGAACAUGUUUUGCUGUCAGAGCACUAAUCUUAAAGCCUUGGUUUGGUCACUUACUCGGCUGAUUGGCAGAUGUUAUGAUAGCUGGAAAAGAAGCUGCAAUCACACCUAGUCAGCAUGGUGUGUGUAUUGCAGGUAAAUCAAAGAACACACUCCUCCCAUCACCUUCUGUAAGCACACACUGACUGCCUAAAUAAGGCAAGGUUGAAGAUUGACACUGGGGAUUGGCAACAUUUCCAUGCUUAAAAUUCUUUAUCGUCUCCAUCUCUCUCUGUCUCUGUCUCUCUCUCUCCUUGCUCUCUCUCUUUCACUUUCUCUCUCUUUCUUUCAUUCUCUCUCUUGCACACACACACACACACACACACACACACACACUCACCCACACCCACACACACACCCCAUAUAUUUGUGUGUCUCGGUUCCAAGCAGCAUUAACAUUAUUGCCAAAACACUGAAAUGACAAAGAAAUGUUAUAUAAGUAGGGGGAAUGUGUGUGUUUGUGUUGCUGUAUCACUCAUUAUUUACAGGCUGUGUGUUUGUCUCUUUACCCUUUGUGCAGUUUAUCAGUUUUGUUAAGUGUAAAACUGGAUGAAUGAACAUUUAGUAAUGUUUGCUGUAAAGGGCUGGAUUUCUGACAGAGCUUUAUCUCCAAGGCAUUGCUGUUGCAUGGUGCUCACAUUCUCUGCUCUAUAUGAGCUGUGAUUUUAUCUAUGAGCACAUCUUGGACCAUGUUUGAUCCAUGUUUGAUGUAAUGUCACUUUUCGAAGCCAAAAUCACCACAUUUUAUCAUGCUCUGGUUAAGCCUUUUACUGGUUCAUGUACGCUUAUGAAGAGUAGUUUCAGUAUGAGUCUGUGCACUUUUGCUUUGUGUUAGUGUGUGUUUUUGUCAACAAGAAAUUAGAUCAGGUUUAGAUAAAAGAGAUAUAGGCACAUAUGAGAAGGCAGAAGGCAGUACCAUUUGGUUAGAUGAUAACUCCGUGCUGUUGCAUAACUCAGAUUCCAUAGUUCCAACCUCUAGCUUGAAUGUAAUAGCUAUCUAAUUGACAAUGCAUGAAAUUGUAAAAAAAUAUAUACUAGCUAAGAGAUCUAAUCACACAGGUUUUUAUAAACCUAAUCUCUUUCUUGGAAAUAUGCAGGCAAUGUGUGACUACCAGAGAACAGGCUUUUCCAUUAAUAAAAACAGAAACUUAUUUCAUAGGAAAACUGAAACUCAUUUAACUCCAAUCUCACAUUGGACUUUUUGGAAUUUAAUUAACAUUUAUCUAAAAGUUUAAAUGUUGGGGGGUUUUUCCCCCAUAAAGAAAAGAAUCACUAAAAAAAAUCUCUACAGUAUUCUAUGGACAUAGCUUUCUAUUUAUUUCUCAGUUAAGAAAAAAGUCAUUAGAUAUGGAUUAGCUGGAAAGAGUGCAAGAGUGUUUUCUUUGACCCUUUUUCCUUGUACAAUUCUGUGGUCAAACACUUUAUACACUGAAACUACUAACAACAAACAUUAUUAUGUUGUCACAAGUUAUGAUAUGCUUCCUGUACUUUUAUUAUAUAUUGUGGACUUUUCAGGGCGAGAAACAAGGAGACUGCUGCCUUUUUUCAGAGAUAGGUGGCAGAGUUCAGUUCAGUUCAGUGCUUUGUGUUAAAAAUCUCAGUUACACCAUGUAAACAUCAUACUUGUCUUGAAUAUCCUGUUGGUUUGGGAGAAAUACCUUAUUUCUGCAAUGAAGUCAUUAUAUGAGAAGAUACUUUCUUUCAAAUGAAAAAGCUAAGAAUCCAGAUUAAAUUGGAGCCAGGUAGGGGAACGUGUGUCAGCACUGGGAGUGCCAGAGGGAGCAGAUUGUUGUUUGACUAAUAAAUGAGAGAAUGUGUGUUAGUGCAGAGUGGACAGAUGGGGACUGGUGAGCUUCUGUCCCAUAUCACAAUGGCCUGGCUCAGCAGGAGAAAUUAGGGUGGAGCUUAUUGGUCCCUCAUCACUACACAACACCGGCCUGGGCCACAUAUCAACUCAGCUACAUCUGGUGCUUGGGCCCGCUCCUAUGUCCAGCAAACUGCAAUUCAACAUGCUUCUAGUCCCUUAAACUAGAGAAAUAGAAAUACAGUCUUAUGUGAAAUGUGGAAGCAUAGAUAAGACUUUUGAAGAGUGGUCAAAAUUUGGUUGCCGUGUUUGUGUAAAAAUGUAUUGCACUCAUACGAUUCUGUGAAUUAACUGGCACUUCUGCCCCAGGGUAUCAGCUGAAUGGCCAUAUUGGUGUGUGUAUGUGCAAGUGUAUGUUGGUGUGUGUGUUUGACCAUCUGUGCCAGAUGUUAAUAAGGCAUCACGUUAAACAGAUGGUAGGAGUUAAAAAAUGAGACUCCAGAUCAGGAUUAUUAUUGCCUGGAUGUUUUUCAUUGAUAUUCAGUUUCCUCUUCACCCGUGGGGACUAUCUUCAAUUACAUAAUGAGAAUAUCUUGAAUAGUUCAAUUGGAGUUUCUGAAUUUCUCACAAUAUCUUGCCUAGGGAUCUGUCCAAUAACCAUUGUUGAACAAGGAAAUGAAGCUUUUCUUUUUUCUUUUUUUAAUAGCCAGAAUAAUAUCCAGUGAAGCAGUGAUAUUACUGGUGCUGUGUUUUUUCUCUGAAUGGCUGAGGGGUGAAAAAUGGGGCCCUCCAGAAGAGCUGCUGCUCUUUGUUGUCCCAGUGAAUAUCAUUAGCAUCUAAAUUGCCUUUCUGGCCACCAGAAACUAAAAAAAACGUGUGUGUGUGUGUGUGUGUGUGUGUGUGUGUGUGUGUGUGUGUGUGUUAGUACGAGGAGACACAGUAGCACAGGGGUGCACACAGACAGGUGAUUAGAGAAACGCCUCAAUUAGACUACAGCCAGAAGUGGACAGCAAACAUGCUGAAAACACCCAAAACGUCAUUAUCAUAUCAAGGUUGUUCUUUGCCCCUGAUCCUGAUUUGAGUCAGUAAUAGUUACAAAUCUAAUCAUAACAAGAUGUGUUUUAUGUUUUUGUAGAUAACUGAGGCGGUACAGUACAGACUGUAAGUACACAAAAUCAGUAAAAUCAGUCCCGUACGGGAUGCACUUUUGUUCUGCAUCAACAAAAGAUUAGCUAAAAAUGUCUUCAUUUUCUUUAUUGGGUGUAUGGUUUUGAACAACAGUUCAUUGUAGAAAGCUAGUAAUUAAUAAAAUAUCUCCAAACAUUGACCAACAUUAUUUAAAAAAUUAAAGUUACAAUGGUCUUAAAAGACUAAUAAAUGUGUCAGUGCUCAUAUAUCAACAUUCACAAGUCUACCUAGGUCUAUGAUGUUUAGAUCAAUGUUUUUUGUAUUGCUAUAGCACUGCAUUGUGCUGUGUUUCAAUCAAGACAAUUUGGAGUUAAUAAGUAUAAUACUAUUGACAUACGACCGAUGAUGCUGAAAUGAAAGUUAAGAGAAUGUGAAAAUAUUGUUUGCAAUGUAAACCUUUGUAAUUCAGAAUGGAAAGCCUUACAAAGGAAGUAUAACAUUUGUCAUGAGAGACAGGUUUCCUGAAAAAUUUUAUAUUAAGUAUAAGUGAAUGCAAUCUCCCUGGAAACACGUUGCUAUAGUAAUGUGACUGGAGCAGCUGCAGGAUCUCAAUGUAACCAGUAGGUGGAGUGGCAGGGCUCAGACAUAACUGCUUUACAGCACUCCCUAGCACCAGUAAGACCUUUGCUGACACACCCUUUAAAAAAUGUAUGUGACUGUACAGUAAAUUAUAGUUCAAUAUGAAUAAAAGAAGAUAUUAUAUCUGGAGAUCAAUUACCCGAAAAAACCCAUAAUAUAUUAGGUCAGACAAUAGACUUUAACAAAGAAUGUUUCUUGUUGUUGAGGAUAAAAGGCCUAGAAAGAUCAAUCGUGGCUACUGAUGGCUGGAUAUGACCUUCAGGGAUGGGUGAAUCCGUACAGCCACUUCAGAAGUUCUAUCCUCAGAUCCUGUUUCUCGACCCAUCACAACGCUACUCUCCCCAUAUAAAUCAAUAGAGCUGUGGGGUUGACGUAAGGCUUCCUUAUCCAGAGUGACUUACAUUUAUACAAGUGAGCAGCUGAAGUUUAAGGGUCCAGCAGUGCCAGCUUCGUGGUGCUCAGAUUUCAACUCGCAACCUUAUAACAAAGGUCCAAUGCCUUAACCCCCUGAGCUACAAUUUCAGAGUGUGUUCUGGAUUCAUCUAUUUUGGAAGGAUAUCCUGUUUUUGCUGAACGUCACACUGGCGCCUCAUUUUCUUCUGGAAAGUCUUUUGUAUGUGCAAAUGUUUUUCUCCACAUCUUGGAUAUGAAUAUAUAUACAAAAAUAUACAAAAAAUGCAAAGUGUAAACAUUUCUAAAGAUGCAAAUCAGUCAGAACCACCAGCAAACAAACAAAACCAAAAUAAAAAAAAACCCAAACCAACUCAAAUAGACUGCUUGUACAAUGUUUAUUAAGCAUGAGGCAAUGUACAACUGCACAUGACCCAUAAAGAACAGCACACAUUUGAGUAUGUAGGUCAUAGUGUCAGUGUGAUCACCCUUAGGAGAAGAAGUUUUGUCAGACUGGGUGUUGGAACCUGCAUGACCGUGAAUGCUCAGUCUGUUGGCAGAGGGAAGAGAAAGAAAAAAAGAGAGAGAGGGAGAGGGAGAGAGAGAGAGAGCAAGCAGGAGGUGACUGGAUGAUUCAGAGAAAUGCAUUCAGGUCAGUAAGCUUCUGGCAGGGUGCUCUGGUGCACACAAUACAGCAGACCCGCUGUGUCAGCCCUUGAGAGGUAUAAGGGUGAGUUAGCAGAACAACAGAGCUGAACAUCUCUCCAAUUCCAGAGGCAUUAAACUUGAAAAUAGAGGUUACAAUACAGUACCACUGAAUGUAUCGAAUGUUGAAGCAUUAACUAUCUAUACUUUAUUCAGCACCAUAUCAAUGGAAAACUACAUGGUGCCAUGUUAUUAGAGAUUUAGGCCUGGAAUGGUUUUAAGGAGUGAAUGGGUUAACAAUAUAAACACAGACAAAUGUGAAAACCCUUUAGACGACAGCAGUACCACCACCGCGUAGACCGUUAAACCGGCUGAUGUUUGGGUGGUAAAUAAAUUGUUAGACAACAGUGUUCACAGUGCACACAAAGAGCCAGUGUAAUGUAACGGCUCACAGCCGCAUGCUGGCUCAUCCUAGUCAUGGGCGGGGGGGGAAGAGACGGGGAAUGGUUGUCUGAUUGGCUCGGUGGUAAAGGCAAGCGAGGGCGAUUGAUGCCUCUGUCCGCUCAGGAGGAGCUGGCAAAUCGCACCUGACGCAGUGCUGCAGCACACUAUCGAUAUGCAGCACAUCACAUCUCCUCCCCAGUGCUGCCACAGCCAGUACACAGCCAGAAAGAGAGGAAGAGAUGAGGGUGGAGAUAGGAAGACAAAUACUGUACACAGCACACAAAGAAUAGGAGUAAAGUUAAAAGGCAAGCUGAAGGAAUAUCUACAUUUUGGCUGCAUUCCACAGAUGAAUGCACACACAAACACAUCUGCAGCAGAAACAACACUCCUCAGGACAUUACCCUCAGCAGCUAUGCCUAACGAGUUUGCAUUGCACAGCAUGUUUAUUUAGGCAAAGCUUUCGCUUAGCUUGGAAAAAACUUAUUUCCUCUU
Silurus meridionalis is the source of this 6125-nucleotide long non-coding RNA. RefSeq lists it as uncharacterized. The record is from RefSeq and is a predicted model, not a curated record. Lineage: Eukaryota; Metazoa; Chordata; Actinopteri; Siluriformes; Siluridae. The transcript is spliced from 5 exons.